Molecule: non-coding RNA, 135 nt
Filed under: Burkholderia gladioli
Lineage: Bacteria; Pseudomonadati; Pseudomonadota; Betaproteobacteria; Burkholderiales; Burkholderiaceae
Source: RNAcentral
CGUUCACCGCCCAUCUUGCGUAGAAUCCAGCCGUUGCGAUGUGCGGAAGCCGGUGCGAAGCCGGCGCGGUCGCGCCACUGUAACCGGGGAGCCGGCCUUCCCGGAAGCCAGACCUGCACAUGGAGCAUCCUUUCA